CAAUAGCGUCUAUUAAAGUUGUUGCAGUUAAAAAGCUCGUAGUUGGAUUUCUGGUCGGAAGCUCCUGUCCUCUGAUGAGCGUACAAGUGCGUCCUACCAUCCUUCUGUUAACCUUUAAGGCUUUCGCGGCUUUCUAGGGGCUCAGAUAUUUUACCUUGAGAAAAUUAGAGUGUUUCAGGCAGGCUAGCGCCGGAAUACAUUAGCAUGGAAUAAUGGAAUAGGACUUUUGCCUCUUCUGUUGGUCAUGAGGCUCGAGUAAUGAUUAAUAGGGAUAGUUGGGGGCAUUAGUACUUAACUGUCAGAGGUGAAAUUCUCGGAUUUGUUAAAGACUAACUUAUGCGAAAGCAUUUGCCAAGGAUGUUUUCAUUAA
Molecule: ribosomal RNA, 370 nt
Filed under: uncultured eukaryote
Lineage: Eukaryota
Description: partial 18S ribosomal RNA
Rfam family: Eukaryotic small subunit ribosomal RNA
Source: RNAcentral